CGUAUAUCCCACAAACACGUUUUAAUUCAGCUGCUUUUACCGUGUGUGAUCAUGCAGACACGUAAAGUCCAGCAAACUCGUCCUAAAAGGGUUAAACGAUAAAAAAAAGAAGGAUAAGAAGAGAAAACGAGAUGAUGAUGAAGACGAGAUGAAUAUUGUUGGCAACCGCUAAAGUCAGGCUAAGGGAAGUAUUUAGGUAUAAACUCAGACGGUGUUGUGGUUAGUCGAUCAGAUGCCAUUGGCUCCAGGGAACAGUGGGAAACAGUGUUUCAGAAAGGUAAAAUGGCCUUGCUUGCUGCAGAAAGUUGUUUCAUCUGGUACAUUGAGAGUGGAGACAUAGUGGCCAAAAGCAAGACGGCUGGAGAGGAGGAGAUGAUCAAGAUCCGUUCAUGCACAGAAAGAGAGGUGAAGAGAAAAAGACAGGAGAGCCAAGAUGAAGGCUGACAGAUACUGCAAGUGAAUCCAGAAGUGUUUUUCUUUUCAUCUUCAUCAAUUAAAUUGAAUUAAACUGAGCAUGGAAUCACUGCCAUUUUUUUAUAGAUAAUAAACCUAGUCACUUUUUAUAAGAAAA
Long non-coding RNA from Carassius carassius (crucian carp), 571 nucleotides. RefSeq lists it as uncharacterized. The record is from RefSeq and is a predicted model, not a curated record. Lineage: Eukaryota; Metazoa; Chordata; Actinopteri; Cypriniformes; Cyprinidae. The transcript is spliced from 6 exons.